This 75-nucleotide transfer RNA is filed under the name Chloroflexi bacterium RBG_13_57_8. RNAcentral describes it as "tRNA-Gly". It matches the Rfam family "tRNA". Rfam says of the family: Transfer RNA (tRNA) molecules are approximately 80 nucleotides in length. Their secondary structure includes four short double-helical elements and three loops (D, anti-codon, and T loops). The record is from RNAcentral. Lineage: Bacteria; Bacillati; Chloroflexota.
GCGGGUGUAACUCAGUGGUAGAGUGUUUGCUUCCCAAGCAAAAGGUCGCGAGUUCGAAUCUCGUCACCCGCUCCA